AGGUCAGAAUGAGUGACAAUGUUGGGUUUAUGUGGUAAUAUUGCACUCGUCCCGGCCUAU
This 60-nucleotide microRNA precursor is filed under the name Limulus polyphemus (Atlantic horseshoe crab). Its description in RNAcentral is "Lpo-Mir-92-P11_pre stem-loop". The record is from RNAcentral. Lineage: Eukaryota; Metazoa; Arthropoda; Merostomata; Xiphosura; Limulidae.